UGGGGAAUCUUGCACAAUGGGCGAAAGCCUGAUGCAGCCAUGCCGCGUGAGUGAUGAAGGCCUUAGGGUUGUAAAGCUCUUUCACCCGUGAAGAUAAUGACGGUAGCGGGAGAAGAAGCCCCGGCUAACUCCGUGCCAGCAGCCGCGGUAAUACGGAGGGGGCUAGCGUUGUUCGGAAUUACUGGGCGUAAAGCGCGCGUAGGCGGUUUGACAAGUUGGAGGUGAAAUCCCAGGGCUCAACCCUGGAACUGCCUUCAAAACUGUCUGACUAGAGUCCGGAAGAGGGUGGUGGAAUUCCCAGUGUAGAGGUGAAAUUCGUAGAUAUUGGGAAGAACACCGGUGGCGAAGGCGGCCACCUGGUCCGGUACUGACGCUAAGGUGCGAAAGCGUGGGGAGCAAACAGGAUUAGAUACCCCCGUAGUCC
RNAcentral lists this ribosomal RNA (424 nucleotides) under uncultured prokaryote. RNAcentral describes it as "partial 16S ribosomal RNA". It matches the Rfam family "Bacterial small subunit ribosomal RNA", at positions 355 to 796 of the family's 1533-position model. The record is from RNAcentral.